GAUGAAGAACGUAGCGAAAUGCGAUAAGUAAUGUGAAUUGCAGAAUUCAGUGAAUCAUCGAAUCUUUGAACGCACAUUGCGCCCGCCAGUAUUCUGGCGGGCAUGCCUGUCCGAGCGUCAUUUCAACCCUCAAGCCCCCGGGCUUGGUGUUGGAGAUCGGCGAGCCCCCCGGGGCGCGCCGUCUCCCAAAUAUAGUGGCGGUCCCGCUGUAGCUUCCUCUGCGUAGUAGCACACCUCGCACUGGGAAACAGCGUGGCCACGCCGUAAAACCCCCCACUUCUGAAAGGUUGACCUCGGAUCAGGUAGGAAUACCCGCUGAACUUAAGCACAUCAAUAAGCGGAGGA
This 345-nucleotide unclassified non-coding RNA is filed under the name soil metagenome. Its description in RNAcentral is "partial contains 5.8S ribosomal RNA, internal transcribed spacer 2, and large subunit ribosomal RNA". The stretch from base 1 to 120 matches the Rfam family "5.8S ribosomal RNA", at positions 35 to 154 of the family's 154-position model. The record is from RNAcentral.